AAACCGGUACACAUCUUUGUGGAAACUGGCCCUGAGACGUUUCUGAAGAUCAGGAGUAGAGAUCACAAAACGAAAAACUUUGUGUCAGUAACAUGUCUUGAGGAGCUAAUCAGAGUUGCUGUGGGUCAUGGAAUUUGUCAGGAGGGCAACAUACAGGUGUAUUUAAUGGAUGAGUUAUCACUUCGCUCUAUGGUUGCUGGUGCUGAGAAAUGCCUCAAUGACAUUUUCAUUGUUAAAAAUGGACUAUGGAAACAAGAUCAGUCAACAUGUGUGAGUGCACCUUCACCAAUCCCACAAAUGCCUCUGCUCUCACGAAUUUAUUACCCUUGGGAGAGCCUCAGCAAGACAGUACUUGAUGCAUUGG
Ornithodoros turicata is the source of this 364-nucleotide long non-coding RNA. RefSeq lists it as uncharacterized. The record is from RefSeq and is a predicted model, not a curated record. The transcript has 4 exons. NCBI's taxonomy places the organism in Eukaryota, Metazoa, Arthropoda, Arachnida, Ixodida, Argasidae.